GAUGAACGCUGGCGGCGUGCCUAAUACAUGCAAGUCGAACGCUGAAGGAGGAGCUUGCUCUUCUGGAUGAGUUGCGAACGGGUGAGUAACGCGUAGGUAACCUGCCUGGUAGCGGGGGAUAACUAUUGGAAACGAUAGCUAAUACCGCAUGACAACAGUUAUUGCAUGAUAACUGUUUAAAAGGGGCAACUGCUCCACUACCAGAUGGACCUGCGUUGUAUUAGCUAGUUGGUGAGGUAACGGCUCACCAAGGCGACGAUACAUAGCCGACCUGAGAGGGUGAUCGGCCACACUGGGACUGAGACACGGCCCAGACUCCUACGGGAGGCAGCAGUAGGGAAUCUUCGGCAAUGGACGGAAGUCUGACCGAGCAACGCCGCGUGAGUGAAGAAGGUUUUCGGAUCGUAAAGCUCUGUUGUAAGAGAAGAACGAGUGUGAGAGUGGAAGGUUCACACUGUGACGGUAUCUUACCAGAAAGAGACGGCUAACUACGUG
Molecule: ribosomal RNA, 495 nt
Filed under: uncultured bacterium
Lineage: Bacteria
Description: partial 16S ribosomal RNA
Rfam family: Bacterial small subunit ribosomal RNA
Source: RNAcentral